Molecule: ribosomal RNA, 255 nt
Filed under: uncultured bacterium
Lineage: Bacteria
Description: partial 16S ribosomal RNA
Rfam family: Bacterial small subunit ribosomal RNA
Source: RNAcentral
GACGUAGGUGGCGAACGUUAUCCGGAAUUAUUGGGCGUAAAGGAUGCGUAGAUGGUGUAGUAAGUUAUCGGUGGUAAAUCGAGGCUCAACCUCGUGGAAGUCGGUAAUACUGCUAUACUUGAGGAUAGGAGAGGUUAACGGAACUCCCUAUGGAGCGGUGAAAUGCGUAGAUAUAGGGAAGAACACCAAUAAGGCGAAGGCAGUUAACUAUUCUACUCCUGACAUUGAGGCAUGAAAGCGUGGGGAGCAAAACGG